Molecule: long non-coding RNA, 1857 nt
Organism: Cottoperca gobio
Lineage: Eukaryota; Metazoa; Chordata; Actinopteri; Perciformes; Bovichtidae
Source: Ensembl
UAAAGGUACCUCUGCCAAGUGAAAGUCAGUGGCCAGCUUCGCUGGCCAAACACUGACUGUCGAGUGGCAGCAAAGCUUUCAAUAAAAUCUCCCAAAAAAAGAAAAUCCACUUUGAUUUAGCUGAUUUGCAUAAAGAAGGAGAAACUGGCCCUCGUGGAAUUUUAAAUCUGGGGCCGUCUUUAACCGAUCGCGUUGGUUUGUGAAGUUGACCAAGGUUGUGGCGUUCAAAGGGAGAAAACGGCAAUCAACCUGUUGGAGAAAAUCUUCACCAUCUUUAAUCAGGAGGAGAGAAGCCUGUCAAGGAAAAACUUUCCUUUGGUCUGUACUCACUGUUCCUCACCCGUCCUUUGUUUGAUGUGCUCACGAGAGAGACAACGGAGAGAGUGAGUGUGUGCGUAAAAAGGGGGAAAGAGAAAAAGAGAGACGGUGUGUGAGUGUGCGAGGGAGAGAUUCAUUAUUCGGAUAAUGAGUCCAUCUGGGACAAUAUGAGACAGUUCACUUCCCCUGUGGUCGUCUCCAGCAUUCAGGGAGAGGACAUUUUUCCAGCUCGGAGCCAGAGGACGUCGAGCAGCGGCACGGCCUCGUUAGCAUGCCUGCCGACGGACGCUGCCGCCAUGCAGAGUUCUAUUCAAGAGCAGCGUCAAUCACUGCACCAUGGCUUCCUCCUUUUACUCCUCAACUUCUUUCCUUUCUUGAGCCAAAAUAAAAACAUCAGGCUUGGUGGGCAAGCCCUACAGGAGAGAAGAAAAGCCGGUAUGCAGAUUCGGAUGUAUGACCGCCACCCUUUGAUUGGCUGUGGCGACACCUCCUCCUCCUACCUUGAUGAAGACCGGCUGUGAUUGGUGGUGCACCUGUUCCGGCUCUCCAAUCCGAGGCACUGGAGAGACCGGUGGCUACAAAUGCCAAGCCAGCUCGACGGCCGGGGCUGCUGGUGUUGUCAGCCUACGCAUAUGCAUUUCUGUUUGGUCCGAGACUGUCAUGCUUUUAUAGAGUAUCUUGAAUGUUGCAUAUUGUGUUUCGUGUUCCAUGCAAGCUGUCCGAGUUGUUUAGGUGACACCCUAACCCUAACCCUAACCCUUUUAGGGUUAUUUGUUAAGCACGCUAGGUGCUCCGGUGCUGUUAUGCCUUUUUGUUUUUAUUUUGUGUUCAUCCAGUUUUCACCCCGAGCUUUGUUUUAGAAAUGUUUAGGUUGGGGUUUAUUUAGUUUGACACCUUAUGCUCUUAUGUUAAGAUCCCUCCUUUUUGUUCUAUUUCUCUCUUGAAAAGCAAUUGGUUGCCAAUUAUACAUAUUCUAUUAAUAAAUAUACUUUAUUUACCAUCAACAUCUGGUUAUAUGUUACUCCCUUUUCCCUUGCCGAGCCGGGUCGUAACAUAAAUGAGGGCUCAUCCGGGAUCAUUAACAGACUCCCUCAGAAGAUCAAAUUGAGAGAUGCCGUAAGGAUGAUUUAAGCCAAAUUGCGACCCACUUCGGUAUCAUGUACUCCAGGUCCAUACUUAAGAGAGAGCUUAAGGCUCUAGUUGAAAAGGAGUUGGUGGAACGGGGGAUGGUUGUGUUGCCAGUACGGCCAGAGCUUGCUGUGCUUGAGGGCACACCGAGUCAAAAGCUUGAGGGAACCCCAAGGUGCUGACGCAGUGGCAGAAGUUGAUGCCGAGGUAGACGGGCGGAUGAAAACUCUGUUUACGUUGCCUCGCUAUGAGCCCCUGUCUUCUAUCAAUUCUGGGUGCAGAGAUGGGGCUCGACUUAAAGUCCGCCUUGCCCGUCUCCAAAUGGAAGCUCAGGAAAAAGUGCAGACAGACAAGCUCAGCAUGAGAUCAGGAAACUGUAAAUAGAAACUGACAAAGGCAUACGGCUGCGUC